Molecule: long non-coding RNA, 536 nt
Filed under: Homo sapiens (human)
Lineage: Eukaryota; Metazoa; Chordata; Mammalia; Primates; Hominidae
Description: LAMA4 antisense RNA 1 (LAMA4-AS1)
Source: RNAcentral
AAAAGAAGCUUUCCUAAUUCAUUAGAACAUCAGUUCUCCCCAGACAUAAUGUUCAUCAUGGAAGUACUUUUCCCCUUUGGAGAUCACUGGAAACAGCUUCUGGACCACAAAUGGGGUGAACUACUGUAUCGAGAAAGGAGAGAGUAAGACUUGAGAGCUAUCUUUUUAGCUCAGGGUGCAGGACUGGACUAAGAACUCAGUUAAGUGAAGCAAGCAAGAAUUUCCCAAGUGAUGCCAACUCAAAAUGAAUUAUAUCAAGAAAGGAAAAGCAGCUUUUUCAUCUGGAAAGAACUGGAGACCUUGAACCUAGGCAGCAUGUGCCUUGAACCUAGGAUCAGUAAACAACAAGGAUGGAAAAGACAGUAAGAAUUUGGUCAGAUCACCAUAUCUUUCCGUUGUGCCUUUAGAACAAAAGGAAAGAAAAUAUCUCUUUGGCUCACAGAGAAAAUAUGUUGAGAAAUGAAGUACAACCCCUCACUGUGCUGGGCACAGAGCAGGUGCUCGGUAAAUAAAUAGUGUACGUGUUCGCUGAGUAA